UACGUAGGGGGCUAGCGUUGUCCGGAAUCAUUGGGCGUAAAGAGCGUGUAGGCGGCCCGGUAAGUCCGCUGUAAAAGUCAAAGGCUCAACCUUUGAAUGUCAGUGGAUACUGCCGGGCUAGAGUCCGGAAGAGGCGAGUGGAACUCCUGGUGUAGCGGUGGAAUGCGCAGAUAUCAGGAAGAACACCGAUGGCGAAGGCAGGUCUCUGGGCAUUAACUGACGCUGAGGAGCGAAAGCAUGGGGAGCGAACAGG
RNAcentral lists this ribosomal RNA (253 nucleotides) under uncultured bacterium. RNAcentral's name for it is "partial 16S ribosomal RNA". It matches the Rfam family "Bacterial small subunit ribosomal RNA", at positions 524 to 776 of the family's 1533-position model. The record is from RNAcentral.